This 341-nucleotide unclassified non-coding RNA is filed under the name soil metagenome. RNAcentral's name for it is "partial contains 5.8S ribosomal RNA, internal transcribed spacer 2, and large subunit ribosomal RNA". The stretch from base 2 to 116 matches the Rfam family "5.8S ribosomal RNA", at positions 40 to 154 of the family's 154-position model. The record is from RNAcentral.
GAGAACGCAGCGAAAUGCGAUACGUAAUGUGAAUUGCAGAAUUCAGUGAAUCAUCGAGUCUUUGAACGCACAUUGCGCCCCCUGGUAUUCCGGGGGGCAUGCCUGUCCGAGCGUCAUUGCUGCCCUCAAGCACGGCUUGUGUGUUGGGCCUCCGUCCUCCUCCCGGGGGACGGGCCCGAAAGGCAGCGGCGGCACCGCGUCCGGUCCUCGAGCGUAUGGGGCUUCGUCACCCGCUCUUGUAGGCCCGGCCGGCGCUUGCCGACACAUCAAUCUUUUUUCCAGGUUGACCUCGGAUCAGGUAGGGAUACCCGCUGAACUUAAGCAUAUCAAUAAGCGGAGGA